Homo sapiens (human) is the source of this 850-nucleotide long non-coding RNA. Ensembl annotates it as long intergenic non-protein coding RNA 1320. NCBI's taxonomy places the organism in Eukaryota, Metazoa, Chordata, Mammalia, Primates, Hominidae. The record is from Ensembl.
GGGAAGGGACAAAUAAGGGAAUAAAACUGGCCACCCCAGCCGGCAGUGGCAACCCACUUGGGUGCCGUGAAAGCUUUGUUCUUUCGGUCUUCACAGUAGAUCUUGCUGCUGCUCACUUUUUGGGUCUGUGCCAUCUUUAAGAGUUGUAACACUCACCUCAAAGGUCUGCAGCUCCAUUCUUGAAGUCAAGGAGACCACGAACCCCCCAGAAGGAACCAACUCUGGACACAAAAGGAAAGGAAUAGCAGUUAUGUCUCAGGGUUUUUUGAGGAUCAAACUGGAAAAUGCUGUCAACUAUAGUUAUUAGUAUACAGUAUAAUGAAGAAUCUUGAGGUCCUCCUGGAUUACCAAAGUGGGCCCUAAAUCCAGUGGCAGAAGACACAGACACAGAGAGGAGACCAGGUGAAGACAAAAGAAGAGGCUGGAGUGAUGCAACCAUCAGAGAGUGAAAAUACUCAGUUACCUCCUGGUUUAUGAGGCAAUGAAGUAUUCCAGCACAUAAAUAUUGACGCUGAGACCCAUGGGAUGUAGGAGUGCUGAGCACAUUUGCAAGACAUAAAGACCGAAGGUAAAUGAAGUUACAUCUCUUCCUAUAAAAUGCAAUCUGUCCCUCAAUGGAUUUUACCAUCCUGUUGUUUUUAUUUCCUCCGUCUUUAUAAUUGGAGACAUUCUGCCGGCCUGUUGAAAACACCACUAGUAUUUCUUUCUGAAAGUUAGCCAACCUACUAAUUCUCCUUAAAAUUCUGAUUAGGUGUUUGCAGCUAAAAUGAACACAUCAGAGAAAUGACAGAAUUUUUGAGCGAAAAACUGAGAACAAGAAAAUGACUAAAUAAAGGCAUUUAAAAAAUAA